This 497-nucleotide ribosomal RNA is filed under the name uncultured bacterium. RNAcentral describes it as "partial 16S ribosomal RNA". It matches the Rfam family "Bacterial small subunit ribosomal RNA", at positions 27 to 507 of the family's 1533-position model. The record is from RNAcentral.
GGGGGGGGGGGGGGGGGGGGGGGGGGGGGGGGGGGGGGGCGGGGGGGGGGGGAGCGGGGGGGGCGGGGGGGAGCGGCGGGGGGGGGAGUCGCCCGUGGAGCGCCUGCCUGUAGGACUGGGCGAACUGCGGGAAGCCGGAGCUGAUACCGGAUCAUAUUUUGAACCGCCUGGUUCAAACGUGAAAGACGGUCUUGCUGUCCCGUAUAGAUGGAUCCGCGCUGCAUUAGCUAGUUGGUAAGGUCACGGCUUACCAAGGCAACAAGGCAUAGCCGACCUGAGAGGGGGAUUGGGCACAUAGGAACUGAGACACGGUCCAGACUACUACGGGAGGCAGCAGUAGGGAAUCUUCUGGAAUGGGCGAAAGCCUGACGGAGCAACGGCGCGUGAGUGAUGAAGGCCUUCGGAUCGUAAAACUCUGUUAUUAGGGACGAACAUAUGUGUAAGUAACUGUGCCAAUCUUGACGGUACCUAAUCAGAAAGCCACGGCUAACUACGUG